CUUGGUCUUGGAGAUUUUGCCACAAUGAUUCUUGACAGGAAAAGCAGGGCCUUUCACGUUUUCGCGUCUUCACGUCGACCACCGUAGUUCUCCUAUACGCUUAGCACACGGGAGAAGUUUCAGUUGGUUGCAAUCUGCAACUCCAUCGCUAGAUGCCGCCAGAUCCUACACACUGCACCUUUAAUGAAUCGUUGUUUAGCCUUACAAUUAUGAAAAAAUAACAUUUAGGAUUUUAUAUCAGGAUAUUAUCAUAGCCAAAAUCAAUAUCUAGUCUUGUAUGGAGUUGAACCAAUUGGUCAAUUAAUUGAUUAACUUAGUUUGCAACAACUUUUCUCAUUUUAAGCAAAAAUGCACUGGUUCCAGCUUCUCAAACGUCAAUCUUGACUGGUUUUCUUAGUGUUCUGUGAUAGUAAAUGAAUGGCUUUGGGUUUUGAACAGUUGGUUAGACAAAAUAAUUUUUUAAUGUGUCAAAUUGGACCUUUUUCAGCAUUUUAUAGACUGUAUAAUUAACUGUUUAAUCAAGAAAACAAUUGACAGAUUAAUGGAAGAUGAAAGUUGCAGCCCUUGUCUCACACAAAUAAUGUAGGUAGUGAUCGAGAGCGCUCUGAAUCUGUCCUUUGUUUUUACUUUAAUCCCACGUGUCAAUUGAGCCAAUCAAAGAGGACUGGUGCCCUAUGCUUUGAGAGACCGGAGGCUGAUCCAGGAUCAGAGUGACAGAAGCCGGCUGAUGAGAAGACACAGGAGAAGCUCGGGGGCCUGAGCCGCUCUGUAACUGCAGCGAUGCCAAGUGGUCGGCGGUUUGAAGAGGACACCUGAGACCAGCGCACCUGGACAAUGAGCUGAGGUCACAUCAUAAUGGCUGAAACAUCACCAUGACAACUGAGCAAACUCCAUCUACUGAUGAAGAGCCUCUCUGAUGAUGAUGAUGAGUCUGACUUGUUUGCAGUACUUACUAUUGCUGGACUUGAGGUCUCUGUGGA
This is a long non-coding RNA of Sebastes umbrosus (honeycomb rockfish), 980 nucleotides long. RefSeq lists it as uncharacterized. NCBI's taxonomy places the organism in Eukaryota, Metazoa, Chordata, Actinopteri, Perciformes, Sebastidae. The record is from RefSeq and is a predicted model, not a curated record. The transcript has 3 exons.